UACGGAGGGUGCGAGCGUUGUUCGGAAUCACUGGGCGUAAAGCGCGUGUAGGCGGCCUGCUAAGUCUGAUGUGAAAGCCCGGGGCUCACCCUCGGAAGUGCAUUGGAAACUGGCAGACUGGAGUCCCGGAGAGGAGGGUUGAAUUCCUGGUGUAGCGGUGAAAUGCGUAGAUAUCAGGAGGAACACCGGUGGCGAAGGCGGCCCUCUGGACGGUGACUGACGCUGAGACGCGAAAGCGUGGGGAGCAAACAGG
Molecule: ribosomal RNA, 253 nt
Filed under: uncultured bacterium
Lineage: Bacteria
Description: partial 16S ribosomal RNA
Rfam family: Bacterial small subunit ribosomal RNA
Source: RNAcentral